Durio zibethinus is the source of this 2109-nucleotide RNA transcript. RefSeq lists it as uncharacterized. NCBI's taxonomy places the organism in Eukaryota, Viridiplantae, Streptophyta, Magnoliopsida, Malvales, Malvaceae. The record is from RefSeq and is a predicted model, not a curated record.
UUUUAAUUGUAUUUCUUUUCAUCUUCAUUUUUUUUAUUUAAUUCAAAAAAAAAAAGAAAAAAGAAAUCGAUUACCCAUAAAAUCUUACUACUUUACAAAAACUUCUUCCUUUUCCUUUUUCCUCUGUGAAACUUUUUCCAGUUAAAAUGGUUUUGUCUGCAUUCUGUAGCUUGACUUUUCAACGGACAUGGAUCUGAUUUUAUUUCUCUUUUCUCACGAUUUUCCUUCAGGAAUGAUUUCUAUUGGGAUUUUUCAAUAUUGACUUUAGUGGUUUUUUUUUUCUAAGCUUAAAUACCAAAACGAUGGAAAAUUUGACUUUUAAAAAUGAGUUAUUUUAACAGAAGACUUUUGAUGCAGAACCAAUAUUUCUGAAGCCCAUCUUGUUCUGCUUGUUUCUUGGGAAAACUCAAGAAACAAAUAUGCCUCAAUUUCUAUGACUUAUGUUGGUUUCCAAUUGAUUAAUUGAAAUUUGAAAACAUCUGUAAAGGUUGGCUGCAACUGUGAACUUAAAAAGUCAUUCCUUUUAGUAUAAAAAGUUUUUUCCUUUUUUUUUUUAUUUACUUUUCAAUAUUUUUCUCGUCAGCAAACAAAGUUGACACGGAAUUUCACCAAAUUUUUGUAGUCUAAUGCAAUAAGGCAACCUUUCUUUGCUGUCAAAAAGCUUGUUCAUUCAAUUUGUUCAAAGAUUUAUCAUUUGUCUAAUUUUUUAAGUCUUCUAUAUAGAUAAUCAGAUUCAAUGUAUGAAAGCUAAAACUGUUUACCCUUUGAAGCAGAAAAAUAACAUAUCUUGAUAAAACAACAAGAAGAAGAGAUUGCAAGAGUUUAGAGCUGACUGUGUCUGAAACAAAAGAUAAGAAAGUGAUAGAUAUAUCAACAAAGAGAUGGGAUCUUUCAAGGGUCAUGUUUUGCCGGGGACUCUGUUUCUGAUGGUUGGCGUAUGGCACAUAUGGAGUUCUGUGUUUCGGUAUGUGUCAAACCCCAAGUCUUUUGAGGUCAGAGUGUGGAACCCAGUUCCUGGUUUUGAUGGGAAGUUAAAAUACUUCGAGCUUUAUGUCGUCGCCAUUGGUGCUUUUAUUGAUUUGUGUAUUGAGCUUUUGUAUUCAACCCACCUCAAGUUUUUUGUCAAUGGAGUCUUGAAUCCAUCACACUUGAAUGAUUUUGAGCAUUCCGGGAUGCUUCUCAUGUUUUUACUCUUAGGUGCUAUCGCUCUGCUUUCAGAGAAAACGAGUUUUCUUUCAUUACCACAAGGAGCCCUUUGUCUUAUCGCGGCUGCAGCAUUCAUUGCAGAGUAUCUGCUAUUCUACUUUCACUCAACCACUCACAAGGGCCUCGAAGGAUACUACCAUCUUGUCCUUGUCCUUUUAAUUGGACUCUGCAUUUUGACCACUGUUGCUGGAGCUUUCUUGCCAAACAGUUUCCCAGUUGAUUUGUGUAGUGGAAUUGCUAUAACUCUCCAAGGCCUCUGGUUCUAUCAGACUGCUUUCACCCUCUAUGGCCCCAUGAUGCCAGAUGGUUGUCGGCUCACGGGAAAUGCAAUAUAUUGCCAUCCAACAGAUAGUGAGGUUCGAGGCGAGUUGAUUGCUAACUUCCAGCUCUUCUCUCUGGUACUGGGUGUCCUUGUUGCUGUUGUAGGAUCAUAUGGUUUUGCAGCUUCAAGAUAUGGGAAUUCUGAUCUUGGAAGCACGCAUUCGGUUCAGGAUGGCUGAGAAUGAGAUUCAAGCAGGGUAUGUAGUCUUGACUUGGGAUUUAAAUUAAGGUUUCUUGGGAGGGAGCGAUGAAGAUGCUUGACUUUUCAUUGUUGGGGAAAUACUGUGUAUUCUGUUUUUGUACAUGUGUAAGUUCGUCAAAAUCAACAGGGAAUAAUGAUGUGAUCUACAAAGACAAAACUAAAUUAUACCUCAAUUCAAUAUUCUUUUUCAUGCUGACAAUGGUAACUCUUCGCUCUCUCAUUUCAUUUCCGUUUGUUAUGCAAUUAUUGAAACUGGGAUUUAGACAAUUUUCACAGACCUUAAUUCUCUUCACAAAGGGGUGAGAGUGAGGUGGCUAGUGUUCAAACUUCAAUUCCCAUUCAUUAAUAGAAUAAUCUUUUAGAAAACAUAUGUAUAUACA